GUGAGCCGGUGAGCAGUUACGGGACACUCCCGGUGUCUCGAGGAAACUCCACCCACUUGGCGGAGGCAUAGCGUGUUGUUGCGUGCCUGGGAGACUGGGCGCGGGGGCGCAGAAACGAAACCUUGCUGCUGCCGAUGGUACGAUGAGGAUGUGAGUCUGAGGAUGGUGGCUGUGUAGGAUGAAACGGGCUCCCGCUGUGCUGUGAAAGGAGAUGUAGACGCCGAUGAGCUCCGCCCGAAGGCGCGGGUACUCUGAUUAGACGGAUGCUGCUCUGAACAGAAGGUGGGUUACGGCCGGGACGC
RNAcentral lists this RNase P RNA (302 nucleotides) under archaeon 13_1_20CM_2_54_9. RNAcentral describes it as "RNase P RNA component". It matches the Rfam family "Archaeal RNase P". Rfam says of the family: Ribonuclease P (RNase P) is a ubiquitous endoribonuclease, found in archaea, bacteria and eukarya as well as chloroplasts and mitochondria. Its best characterised activity is the generation of mature 5'-ends of tRNAs by cleaving the 5'-leader elements of precursor-tRNAs. Cellular RNase Ps are ribonucleoproteins. RNAcentral also lists the same sequence under 1 other name. The record is from RNAcentral.